CACCUAUGACAUAUAAACUUGAACCUGAUUUCUUUUUAUAAGGUUACCCGUGGCACUCUCUUAUAAAAUUUUUAGAUUAAUUUUUUCCCUUUCCCCAUCAUCUCUAGAAAACAUCAAAAAGGUUCACUCCGGCCAAAAGUUUUCAUUCAUCUGGGUUACUCGGGAUUAACCUAAAAAUAGUAUGGCUUCUAGAAAUCAAGUUAUACUUUUAUUAUAUGCAUAGGAUGAAAUGAUAAACAUAACAGAUAUUUACUUAAAACAUAAAUACAAAAAUAUGAACAUAAACUAAUAAAACAUAAAUCAGAGAUUUAUAAAUUCAUCUUUUAAAAAGAUUUACAACUAAGGAUUUCCCUUUCGGGAAGUCCCUAAAAUUCUAAAAUAAACUUAAAGAAAUACAAUAAUACCUUAAGUAUUCACAAGGAUGAUUCAGCUAUACAAUGAUUUUUUGGAUUGAGAAUUUUUCUGAGAAAGGUUUCAAAAGGUUUUUGGAUAGCAGAGAGUACACAGGUUGUAAACUUCUGCCUAAACCAAAUGAAACUUGUUCCUUAAAUAGAAAAAUUCUUGGGAGCAAAAAGUCUAAAAUAUCCUUGAAAAGAGCACACGUUUCACCGAAAAACUUCUGGCUAAUUCAGGAUAAGUCUAACAAGUGGAAAGAAAAUUUCCUACUUUUACAAAAGUCUAAAAGUCUAUAGUUUAGGAAUCUUGAAAUUUCCACUAAUUUGCUUAAAAUUCUAAAAGUUUCUGACAUCUUUUUUGAAAAUAAUCAAAAGAUCUAUAGUAUUGUGAUAAGAAUCUUCAGCUUUUCCUUCUUUUCUUCCAUCACUUUUGUCUUGUUCUGCAUUAUUGAGGAUCUGAUUAUGUACUGAGAUUAUGACGUGCCACUGAUGAAAAUGACAUUCCACUAUUUGAAUUAUUGUAUCCUUCUUCAUGUGGAUCUUCGUCUUCAUCUGAAAGUCUGGAGUUACUGGCUUCAUCUUUUUCUUUCUGAUCUGGACAUUCUGCAAUUUCUUUUUCUUCUUCAUGGCUCUUUUUUAAUAUUGUCUCGAAUGCUUGGUUAACUGCUUCUCUUAUUUGUUCUUUUAGUCCUUCAUCAUUUUUCUUCUUCUUAAUCUUUUUCUUUUUUCUAGAAGAAGUCUCUUCAUCUUUUUUAGAUUGUUUUUGGAGUUCUUCAAUUUUCUCAAAGAUCUUUUCUAAAAAAGCAGUAUCUGGAAUAGGAUCUUGUGAUUCUUGAAAAAAUAAACAUUCUUGACUAUCUUGGACUACCAUUUUUUCUUUUCCCUUACUAGAUUGAAAUUCUUGGGCUUGUGAAAGUUCUGGGUUAUUUAAAAAAUGUUCUGAGGAAAAAUGUUCUGGUGGACUAUAUUUGACUAAAUAAUCAAAUUUUCCACUGGGCUGUCCUAAGAGAUCCCAAAUCUCUUUACCUUUUUCUGUAGCAGAUUUAUCAGUCUGAUUGUCUAAUUUAGUAGAGGAAUCAACAGUCCCCUGAGUCUGUUGGGCUUUUGGUAAGUCCACAACCUUUAACGGAUUUGAUAAGUCUUUACCAGCUACCGUUUGAGCUGGACUAGCUAUGGACUUCUUGGGCUCCAUAGUACCUGUUGGAUAAUGGACUUUUAAAUCCAAGAUCUCUUUUUCUAAUUGGGCCACUUUCUUUUGAAGUUGAGUUCUUUCUAAUGAAAGGUUCUGAUUGGUUUCAUUAAUAACUUUGAAAUUUCUCUGCAUACAUUAACAAUGUUGGCAGAAAAUAUUCUGGUCUUUGCUUGGAGAAAAAUCUAAUGAAGGGUCUGAGUAAUUCUUCAAAGAAUGAGAUAAAUAAAAAUUUAUUCCUAUCUGUUGUCUUGCAACAUCUAAUGCUUCUUGAAAAUUUGUAAAGCCUUUAUAAAGAGGUUCUGGAAAAUUUUUAAUGCAAUCUAAAACUUCUAACCAAGAAUGGAAAAUUCCUGGAGUUCUUCCUUUAAUAACAACAUAAAAUUUAAACCUUUGCUUGUUCUGACUAAAAUGUUCUGAUAAUGCAUUCAUGCAUGUAAGAAAAUAUUUUUGGUCUUUUGGAUUCUUAUUAUAAGAAAUCCAUAAAUUGUCUAAAAUACAUUUCUCUUCUCUUGAUAAAGAGAUAUGUGGUAAAAUUUUAAAAGAAAUAUUACUAUUAGGAAAUACUAUAAGUUCUUGGUUUCCAAACCUUAUCCUGUCUUGUAACAUUGGUCUGUUCUGAUUAAAUGGAGUCUGUGGUAAUAGUCUUGAUGCAAAUAAAUUCCCAGGUGGAAUUCCUGGUCUUAUAGGCCUUGGCCUUGUCAUCUGUAUAAAAAAAUCAUGUUAAACAAAUUUAAUAAUUUCUAUCUAUUAUUAUUCUACUUAAUAUAUCGGUUGCUUUAUUAUCACUACCUUUAAUAUGUUCAAAUUCUAUAUUAAUUCUUGUAUUAGUGAUUCUAUCAAUAAAUUUUAACCAUCUUCUUCUACUACUUUUUAAAUCUAUUUUCAUUUUAUUGACAAAGGAAACUAUAGCUACACAACCUGUUCUUAUGGUUAUUUCUUUUUUAGAUAUAUAAAUAGUUCAAAACUGUCUAAUGCAUAAUUAAUAGCUAAUAAUUCUGCAUCUAUGCUACUUAAAUUUCCUUUCUCCUUAUAAUUUCCACUAUUAUACCUACAAAUUCUUUCUGUACUUUUAUCAGUAUAUUUAUUAGGUUUGCAAAUUAAUAUAGCUCCCCAUCCUAUCAUACUUCCAUCUGUCUCUAUAAUCAAAUAUUCUGAAUCUAAAGGCAUGGCUAAUUCUGGUAAGGUUUUUAUUUUUUCCUUUAUUUGUUGGAUUAAUUUUAUAUCUUCUUGAUUAAAAAAUCUUUGUCCUGUAGGAGAUGUCUUUGCAUAUAAAGGUCCUGCUAUUUUUCCUAAAUCUUUUAUAAAUGGUCUAGCAUAAUUUACUAAUCCUAAAAAUUUUUGGAUUUGUUUUAAAUCUUCUAAUUUAUCCGAAAAUUCUAAAGCUUUUUUAGCAAUAUGGGGUUGUAAUUUAAUUUUACCUUCUCCUAUGUUAACUCCUAAGAAAUCUAUAAAUUCUUCAAAUAAAAUCAUUUUCUUUUUACUUAUUAUUAAACCAUGUUUAAUAAAUUCUGAGAAUACUAUUUGUAAAUGUCCUCUAUGUUCUUGUUUAUUUUUACUAAAAACUAAAAUAUCAUCAAUAUAAACUAUUACAAACUUACUAUGUCUAUUAAAAAUACUUUCCAUUUUUCUUUGGAAAAUACUUGGUGCAUUCUUAAUUCCAAAUGGCAUUACAAACCAUUCAAAAUGUCCUUCUGGACAGGUAAAGGCUGUCCACUUAAUACUUUCUGCGUGCAUCUUUACUUGCCAAAAUCCUGAUUUUAAAUCAAAUUUACUAAAAAUUUUACAGUCUUGUAUUUUAUUUAUUAAAACUGUCUUGUCUGGUAUGUUAUAAGCAUCAUCUAUAGUAUUAUCAUUUAAUCUUUUAUAAUUGAUAACCAUUCUGCUUUUUCCUCUAACAAUUUCUGAAUGUUUUCUAACUAUAAAAGCUGCUGAUCUAUGAGGACUAUCUGAUUUUCUAAUAACUCCUAAUUCUAAGAGUUCUUUUAUAUGUGUUUUAAAAUCUUCUAUGUCUAAAUUUGUAGCUUCUAUAUUCUAAUUAUGUAUUCUGGAUUUUUUAUUUUUAGUUCACAUAAGAUUUUAUCUUUUUCCCAAUAUUUUAGAACAUUUUCACCUAUAAUCUCCAUCUUUUCUAAUCUAGAACAAUAAAUGAAGAAGCAUCUACAUCUAGACAUAGUACUUCAAGUAUAAGUAGAAAUAUAAUAGAAAGAGUUUUAAACAGACCAGUACAAUAUAAUCAAAACAUAGAAGAAAUCAUAGAUCCUCAACAAGACUACCAAAGAUUUCAAACUAAUGGUUUAAGAAUUCUUAAUCCAGAAAUAUUAUAUAAUAGAGGAAUCUUUGAAACGAGAACACAAUUUUUUAGACAUAGUAGAGAAGUAUCUGUUCCAUGUAUAGGAAAUCAAGUAAGAAAAUUAAACUUAAUAUCAGAAGAUUCU
This 4022-nucleotide long non-coding RNA is filed under the name Olea europaea subsp. europaea. Lineage: Eukaryota; Viridiplantae; Streptophyta; Magnoliopsida; Lamiales; Oleaceae. The record is from RNAcentral.